UUCCAUGUGAACGGCACU
This 18-nucleotide small nuclear RNA is filed under the name Arabidopsis thaliana (thale cress). RNAcentral describes it as "snRNA_03524". Lineage: Eukaryota; Viridiplantae; Streptophyta; Magnoliopsida; Brassicales; Brassicaceae. The record is from RNAcentral.